AAUUUCAAAGAAUGAAAUAGUUAUUGAAUUUCAGCUAUUCCGGAGUGCUUUUUGUAUUUCAGUUAAUGUUAUCUUGUUUUCACUUUGCCGAUAUAGAGAAGUACAAGAUCAUAAGAGUCAAAGAUCACAUGGAUAGGAAGAGACUUUUCACGCUGCAGGGUGGAAAUGGCUAACACCAGAGAGGAUAAUGUUAAAGUGAUUGAAGCAAAGUCCAGGGGGUGUCAGAGACUGGAUGCUCCAAACAGUUGUAGCUCGUAUCCCAUGGCACAUCCUAUGCUGAAAACUCAAGUUAUGUGUUGUGUUGACUUCCGGCCAAAAUGGUGUUCAAGCCAUAGUCUCCAUCAAGAUCGUGGCUCAAAGCUACUCCAAAGUCUCCUCUGAAACCUGCACUCUCAAGAAAGGACCGUGCCAGGAUGCAAAAAGGAACAGCAUCACCUCUAACUGAUCUGAUUUACUGCUUUGGGAGUUCCAAGCUGUUGUACAAUCAAAAUAUCCUCUGGAACAGUAAUGGACUUAACAGUCAACAAAACUUCAAGAUAGCUUCACUGGCAUGAAGCAUGAAUGGACAGUUUGAGAUCUUUAAAAGGGGGAGAAUGAUGCAACAGUCAGCUAAAUUCACAACUCAAAGCCAAUCACACAGACGCCGCUCAGCCUGCUGAGUGUUUCUGUUUUGCAGUUUUGCUUUGGUCACUGGGAAAACCCCUUGUGGCUUGAAGGGAGAUGCGAGAAAUUCAUUGGUCAGGGCAUUGAGUGCAAGUAUUUGGACAUCACAUCACAGUUCUAGAAGACACCUGUGUAUUGUGCACACUUCUGCUGGCUCGGUAAAGGAAGAAUGGAAACAGUUCGCAAAGAAUGUUACCAGGACUGGAAGGCUUGUGCUACAAGGAUAGGUGGGGACAAUUUUCCCUGAGCAUAAGAGUCUAAAGGUUGACUUUACAGAAGUUCAUAUACUAAUGAGGAGCAGAGUUAAGGUGAUUUGUCACAAUGCUUUUCCGCAGAGUAUGGGAGUCUAAAAUUAAAGGGCAUUGGUUAGUUCCUCUCCAUGACUGGAGGCACGUCAGGUGGGAACCUUGCGGUUUCUCUUAGCAUUUGUCUGUGUUUUUUAUGAGGCUGAGUUACCAGCUCGACGCUCAACCCAGCACAGAUGGAAUGCAUGCGAGGAGCCAGCCGGAUUUGAACCCAGGACCACUUGCCUCAAAGUCUGGUGCAGAGGCCACUAUACCACCAGCAAGCAUUAGGGUAAGAGGGGAAAGAUUUACACAAAGAAUCUGAGGGGAUAAUGGAACGAGCUGCCAGAGGAAGUGAUAGAAGAGGGUACAAUUGUGAUGUUUAGAAGUCAUUGGACUGAUGCAUGGGACAGCAAGGACGUGUUGGGCCAAAGGGCCUGUUUUGAAGCUGUAUAAAUCUCUUCUGAUUCAGAUUCAUUUAUUGCCAUAUGCAUCACUAUUCAAUGAAAUUCCUUGCUCACAUCAGGCUCAGGGUCCGAACCGUGUACCCAGCAAUAAUAAAAUGCUGGAGGAACUCAGCAGCAAGUCAGGCAGCAUCUGUGGAAAUGAAUAAACAGUCGAAGUUUCAGGCUGAGUUCUUUGUCAUGAUGAAGGGUCUUGGUCCAAAUGUCCACAGUUUAUUCCCUUCCAGAGAUGCUGCCUGACCAGUUGAGUUCCUCCAGCAUUGUGUGUGUUGCUCUGGAUUUCCAGCAUCUGUAGAACCUCUUAUGUUAAUGCAUGCAGCAACAAUAGCAACACACACACACACGUGUGUGUGUAUAUUAUGUAUAUAUAUACAUACACACACACACUACACACACACACAUAUAUAUAUAUAUAUAUAGGCAUCCAUUAGUCUCGUGAGACCAUGGAUUUGUGCCUUGGAAGGUUUCCAGUGCGCAGCCCUGGGCAAGGUUGCAUGGAAGACUAGCAGUGGCCCAUGCUGCAAGUCUCCCCUCUCCAUGCCACCAAUGUUGUCCAAGGGAAGGGCAUUAGGACCCAUACAGCUUGGCAGCGGUAUCGUUGCAGAGCAAUGUGUGGUUAAGUACUUUGCUCAGGGACACAACACGCUGCCUCAGCCAAGGCUCAAACUAGCGACCUUCAAAUCACUAGACAAACACCUUAACCACAUGGCCAUGUGCCAACACAGCAACACAUAAAACCAUAAGAUAUAGGAGCAGAUUUAGGCCAUUUGGCCCAUCAAGUCCACUCCACCAUUUCAUCAUGGCUGAUCCAAUGUUCCUCUUAGCUCCAAUAACCUGCCUCCUCCCCAGAUCCCUUCACACCCUGACCAAUCAAGAACACAGUAAAAAGGUGUUCAUAAUUGCUGUCUGGAAACCUCCCCUGGAUUGGAUGGACUCUUGACCACACUUUCCACUGCCUUAGGGAAAGUAGGUAGCCAAAACUAUUACAACCUACCCCACCAACCCCAGCUGUUCUCUCUUCUCCCCACUCCCUUCAGGCAGAAGAUACGAAAAGGCUGACUUUAAGUGCCACCAGGUUCAAGCUUGGCUUCUAUCCUGCUGUUAUAAGACUCUUAAACUGACCUCUUGUACAAUGAAGAUGAACUCUUGACCUUGUCGUGGCCCUUUCACUUCAUUUGUGUCCCUGCGUUGCGACAUUCCAAAGUACGGAAAUCCCCUCAUCGAGGACAUCUUCAAAAGCCGAUGCCUCCAAAAGGUGGCACCCAUCAUUAAGGGCACCCACCACCCCUCUUCGCAUUGUUACCAUCAGGGAGGAGGCACAGGAACCUGAAGACACACACUGGUAAAGUUUUAGGAACAGCUUCCAUACCUCCACGAUCAGAUUUCUGAACAGUCAAUGGCCCCACGAACACCGCCCCGCUAAUUUUUUUUUCUCUUUUUAUACUAUUUAUG
This is a long non-coding RNA of Mobula hypostoma (lesser devil ray), 2863 nucleotides long. RefSeq lists it as uncharacterized. The record is from RefSeq and is a predicted model, not a curated record. NCBI's taxonomy places the organism in Eukaryota, Metazoa, Chordata, Chondrichthyes, Myliobatiformes, Myliobatidae. The transcript is spliced from 5 exons.